GAUGAACGCUGGCGGCGUGCCUAAUACAUGCAAGUCGAGCGAACAGACGAGGAGCUUGCUCCUCUGACGUUAGCGGCGGACGGGUGAGUAACACGUGGAUAACCUACCUAUAAGACUGGGAUAACUUCGGGAAACCGGAGCUAAUACCGGAUAAUAUAUUGAACCGCAUGGUUCAAUAGUGAAAGACGGUUUUGCUGUCACUUAUAGAUGGAUCCGCACCGCAUUAGCUAGUUGGUAAGGUACCGGCUUACCAAGGCAACGAUGCGUAGCCGACCUGAGAGGGUGAUCGGCCACACUGGAACUGAGACACGGUCCAGACUCCUACGGGAGGCAGCAGUAGGGAAUCUUCUGCAAUGGGCGAAAGCCUGACGGAGCAACGCCGCGUGAGUGAUGAAGGUCUUCGGAUCGUAAAACUCUGUUAUUAGGGAAGAACAAAUGUGUAAGUAACUAUGCACGUCUUGACGGUACCUAAUCAGAAAGCCACGGCUAACUACGUG
This 497-nucleotide ribosomal RNA is filed under the name uncultured bacterium. Its description in RNAcentral is "partial 16S ribosomal RNA". It matches the Rfam family "Bacterial small subunit ribosomal RNA", at positions 28 to 507 of the family's 1533-position model. The record is from RNAcentral.